CCCUUAGAUGUUCUGGGCCGCACGCGCGCUACACUGACGGAGGCAGCGAGCGUGUCCUUCGCCGGCAGGUGCGGGCAAUCUUGCGAGUCUCCGUCGUGCUGGGGAUAGAUGGUUGCAAUUGUCGAUCUUGAACGAGGAAUUCCUAGUAAGCGCGAGUCAUCAGCUCGCGCUGAUUACGUCCCUGCCCUUUGUACACACCGCCCGUCGCUACUACAGAGUGCCCGUGUCCAAGAAACGGUCGGACCUGUGCGGCCUCUCCGGGCGACCGGAGGGCCGUUAUGGGGAAGACCCUUUAUUUGACGCGGGUCGAUGAAGUAAAAGUCGUAACA
This 329-nucleotide ribosomal RNA is filed under the name uncultured eukaryote. RNAcentral's name for it is "partial 18S ribosomal RNA". It matches the Rfam family "Eukaryotic small subunit ribosomal RNA", at positions 1470 to 1796 of the family's 1831-position model. The record is from RNAcentral.